UACGAAGGGGGCUAGCGUUGCUCGGAAUCACUGGGCGUAAAGGGUGCGUAGGCGGGUCUUUAAGUCAAGGGUGAAAUCCUGGAGCUCAACUCCAGAACUGCCUUUGAUACUGAAGAUCUUGAGUUCGGGAGAGGUGAGUGGAACUGCGAGUGUAGAGGUGAAAUUCGUAGAUAUUCGCAAGAACACCAGUGGCGAAGGCGGCUCACUGGCCCGGUACUGACGCUGAGGUGCGAAAGCGUGGGGAGCAAACAGG
This 253-nucleotide ribosomal RNA is filed under the name uncultured bacterium. RNAcentral's name for it is "partial 16S ribosomal RNA". It matches the Rfam family "Bacterial small subunit ribosomal RNA", at positions 524 to 776 of the family's 1533-position model. The record is from RNAcentral.